AAUAGAUACCCGGGUAGUCCACGCCGUAAACGGUGGGCGCUAGGUGUGGGUUUCCUUCCACGGGAUCCGUGCCGUAGCUAACGCAUUAAGCGCCCCGCCUGGGGAGUACGGCCGCAAGGCUAAAACUCAAAGGAAUUGACGGGGGCCCGCACAAGCGGCGGAGCAUGUGGAUUAAUUCGAUGCAACGCGAAGAACCUUACCUGGGUUUGACAUAUACCGGAUCGCCUCAGAGAUGGGGUUUCCCUUGUGGUCGGUAUACAGGUGGUGCAUGGCUGCCGUCAGCUCGUGUCGUGAGAUGUUGGGUUAAGUCCCGCAACGAGCGCAACCCUUGUCCUGUGUUGCCAGCAAUUCGGUUGGGGACUCGCAGGAGACUGCCGGGGUCAACUCGGAGGAAGGUGGGGACGACGUCAAGGUCAGUCAUGCCCCUUAUGUCCAGGGCUUCACACAUGCUACAAUGGCCGGUACAGAGGGCUGCGAUACCGUGAGGUGGAGCGAAUCCCUUAAAGCCGGUCUCAGUUCGGAUCGGGGUCUGCAACUCGACCCCGUGAAGUCGG
This 554-nucleotide ribosomal RNA is filed under the name uncultured bacterium. RNAcentral describes it as "bacterial SSU rRNA". It matches the Rfam family "Bacterial small subunit ribosomal RNA", at positions 777 to 1329 of the family's 1533-position model. The record is from RNAcentral.